UGCAACCGCGUUAAGCGGCUGGACCGCUCAGCAUCUUGGGUCCAUUAACAAAAUGGAUGCCGUUGAGGUAGCUUUGUGUUAUAUAUUUGUACUACCUAAAACACUGAAAGAAAAAUAAAAAAAGGAUAGUGGAUUCAUCCUUUACUAGAAACUCAACGAAUUUGGUCAGUUCGCAAGUUAUUUUCAAGAACUGAAGACUCACGAAGAUAAAUUAAAAAAAUAAUCUAAGUAUUUUAUUUUUAAUUAUUAAUCAAAUAAUCAUUCUAUAUCUACAUGCUAAAUAAUAACGUAGUGGACGGAUACGUCGCUACAAACUCAUCGGCGGCUCGCCGCACCCUGAACCGCCAGUGCGUAUAGACAAGUUGGCGGCCAGCCGCGAAGCGGGCCGCAGCUCUUCAUUCAACCGCCGCGGUUAAAAUUUUCAGGGGCUUUAGUGCGUACGAUCACAAGCGGUUGCAUACUAAAUUGGAAAAGCAGCUGGCCGCGCGGCCAGCCGCCCCCGCGGUUAACCGCUAGUGCGUAAGGGCCCUUACAGAACAUGGUCCUAUUUUCCCGCACUAAUGCGUAAAAUAGCACUUCGUGCGUAUCUCAGUUUAAAGGGCCAUAUAGUCAGGUGACGAGCAAAAUUCUAAUUACUUACAAAAAUCUACUUAUUUAGGUAUUAAUAUGGUUCACUAUGGCUAUUAACUUGUGGUAGUAAUUAGUGAGUUUUGCUUGUCACCUGACGAUAUGUACUGUAAAACGUACGAUACACGUGCGAAUAGGUAAUUCGCAACUAGUAGUAUUUUUUCGAAUUUCCUCUUUUCCGCACUUGUAUCGUAAAUAACUAUUAGGCUAGGUUCAUACGGCGUAAUUUUUU
Long non-coding RNA from Cydia splendana, 859 nucleotides. RefSeq lists it as uncharacterized. The record is from RefSeq and is a predicted model, not a curated record. The transcript has 2 exons. Lineage: Eukaryota; Metazoa; Arthropoda; Insecta; Lepidoptera; Tortricidae.